This is a long non-coding RNA of Austrofundulus limnaeus, 1057 nucleotides long. RefSeq lists it as uncharacterized. The record is from RefSeq and is a predicted model, not a curated record. The transcript has 10 exons. Lineage: Eukaryota; Metazoa; Chordata; Actinopteri; Cyprinodontiformes; Rivulidae.
AUUUCAUUUUAUUUUUUGCAGUGUUUUAUGUAGGAGAUGCUACAAAUUAAAAAAAGCAGCAUUACUUUUUAGGAACGAAGGUCUUUUUAGCUGCUCGUAGAAACUCACAGACCAUCUUCAUGUUCAUGUUCUGAAUUUUUGAGCUUUUCUUUGAGGCGUGAAGACUUUUAAUCAGCCCCGUCUGUGGGCGUGAGUCCCAAGCGCUCGUUUCACUUUCGUUUGAGCCAACCACAUCCUGUAGCUAGCAGGUGAAGCACAUCUCCUUCAGUCUGUUCGUUGACCAGUCAUCUGUGUGUUUGUGUUGUUUCAGGUAUGACCGGAGAGUCCAGUCCUGCUGCAGUCCUGACUGUCUUCUCAGUCGCUUCGCUCAGUCUGCUCUCACUUCUGUGUCUGCGAUGCAAAAAGAAGUCCAAGAUCAUCCAGGCUGAGUCUCAAAUAUACGACCAACAGAUAUUUCAACGUGGAGGCAGUAAAUUUGCAGUGAUGCGAUCAAAAACAGUCACCAGAAACAAUCAGACGUGUUCAGCCACAGUUGAAACUUGUGAAGGAUCUGGUUUUGAAGACGGUAAGAUUCUCAUGAUUUAUUCUGUGUUUUAUAAAGAAGUUUUAUUAUCAGACGUUGACAGAGUGAUGUAUUGCAGGUCAAACWGAGGAACAGGCAGAUUACCAAAAUGUUACAGGUCCAGUAAUAAGCUCAAGCCUGGAGCAUGACUACGUAGCUCCAAUCGCUGUGUUUCUGUAUGAGAAUGAGAAGAACGCGACACCUGAAGCGGAGCAGAUUCCUGGGAUUUAUGGAAACGUUUUCCCGUCUCUGUCGAUUGAAGAUGAUGAUUACGAAAACGCUGCGUUCCUGGAAGAACAAAUGGAUGAUGAGCCGGAUUACGUGAACGAAAACGGAGACUGCGCCUGAACGCACCACCACCUACAGAUCUGUUUACUUUAUUUGUUUUAAAAGUUUUGUUAACAUUUUUGAAACUUAUGAUCAGCUGUGUGUAAAUAUUUAAGCUUGUAAAAAUCAAGGCUGCCACCUGCUGGUGAAAUAAAUCAAUUUAAUUCA